CUGAAGGAAAUAACCAAAAAAAUUAAGUGCUUACAAUACGGGUUGGGAGGAAAGCCCUGCUGCUUGCUGCAUGUCUGUCCUGUCAGCCUGUCUUGGCCGCCGUCCUGUGCAGCUGCAGACCCCCCUGUGGAUGGAGCUCCUUGCAGGUUCCGGCUUGGGUAGCACGUUAGUUCAGCACGGUGGAAGGCGAGCAAGGGGAGCAGUCCCGUUUCCGAGUUUUUCCAUGAAUGGCUCCCUGCUCACUAGCAGUGCGACCUUGACGUUCAUUUAAUUUCCCUGCCUCUCAACUGUCUCAUCUGUAAAGCGGGAAUCAUCGUAAUUCUGAUUUCUUCAGGACUGCACAGGAGAGCGCUGGCCACGCGUGAGCCAUCAGUCACCUGCCGCCACUGCUGCCCCCCCUCUCUCCUGCCUCCCCACGUGUGUCCCCAGCUGGCAGGAACGCACCUCUCCAGGAAGCCUCCCACACCGCGGCCUCCUCCCCGCGCCUUCCCCACGGCGUGGCCCGCCUGUCCUUCCGGCAGGUUUCUGUAAAACCACGUCUUUCCUCCGUAGACCGCAAGUUCCUGCCACACAUGCUUGUUCAGGACCUACUAUGUGCCAAGCACUGGGCGUAGCAGUGGCUACAACAGGCAGUUUCCUUCCCUGCUGGACGGUGCUUAACUGAACAACUACUGUCACCUGCCAUUGAACACCGGAAACCCAAGUCUCCUCAGGAGCCCUUCAGGGGCUUGCACCUUCUCGGGAGCAGGGGCAAUUGGGGAGGAAAAUGUAUGCCUUACAGAGUUUAAAGUGUUUCAUGAGAAAAGCCUUUAACCAGAGAAGAGGAAAUGGACUCCUUAUAUUGUUAGACUUUUAAAGUGGAGUUGUAGACGUUUGGCUUAAUGAAGUUGUGGUGUCAAAAGCCAAUUUGUAUUGUAGGAUUUGAUGUAUAGUAUUUACUGUAACACAUGUGACAUGCAAUAGCAACUGAUAUGGUAAAUAUGUGCAUCUGUGUGUGUGAAGAGCAUAAGCUGAUGAAAAUUUGCCUCAGGAUGGAUAAAAAAAUAUAUUUUUAUACAGCAUUAUAUUUAACUUAGAAUUAGCAAUAAUUUUCCCUGUAAAUUAGCAGAGCAAAAAAAAGUUUUAUUGAAGAUAUUUCCAAACAUACAAGUAUAAAGGACAGUAUAAUAAACUCUUACGUGCCCAUCCCCUGGAAUCCACAGAUAUCAACAUUCUUCCAAUCCCCUUUCAUCUGUUCCCAGCCCCACUUUUUUCUGGAAUAUUUUCAAACAAAUCCCUGAUACUAUAUUAUUUCACCAAUGGAUACUAUCUAUCUGUGAGUUAAAGGGCCCCUCUUUUAAAAAUAAACCUCAAUACUAUUAUCAGCAAAAUUAGCAAUAAUUCCUUAAUAUCAUCUGAUAUCCAGGCUAUAUCCAGUUGUUCCCAACUGACUCAAAAAUGUCUUUUUACAGUUGAUUUGUUUGAAUCAGGAUCUAACUGAGAUGAACACACUGUGUGCAUUUCAUUGGUAUACCUCUUAAGUGUCUUUUAGUCGUUUCCCCCCACCUCCCUGCCUGCCUCCAACCUCCUGUCAUUCUUUUUUUCUUCCUGCCAUUAAUUUGUUGAAGAAAGUGGGUUAUUUGUCCUGAAGCUCCAUGCCUUCUGGAGUUGGUGAUUGAUGCCUCCAGAGCCAUUUGGCAUGUAAACUGAUGACAGAACUGAGACUUAAUUAGCUUCUGAUCAUUUGCAAGAUAAACUCAGAGGAGGUUUUUGUUUGUAUUUUAAUAAAUCUCUCCCAGGGAGGACCACCUGGUGGCACUGUUAGGCACAACAUUUCCUUUGUGGGUGAGUCUCCACGUUGUAACUGACCUUGCCCCUCCUGUACCUUAAGUUCUCUGCAUUUUCCUGGCACCCGCCUGCCACAGCAGCGUCUGCAUAGGCAAAAUGAAUAGCGUCAGGCCAGCUGGCAGCUCGUCUUGUCCGUAGCCCGUCUCCCUGACGUCUGCUCGGGUGGCUGACAAGAUCUGACCAGCCUGGUUUGCCUGGCUUGUCAUAGAAAUCACCACCUCUCCUCCAGAUUAGUUAGUUCAAAAGUAUAAGGAAGUGUUUUGGCGGAGACUGAAGGUUUUCAGUGUGUGUUAAAAUAAGCACUAAGACAUUCGGGAUGUUUUGGCUAAUUUGAUAGAAAAUGAUGGCAGCCUAGGUGUUUAUUUCAGCCAUGACCCCCUUAUCCAACUCCCCUUUCCUGCUUUCUCCACAAAAGAGAAUAAUCGACUUUGUCGGUUUCACCUUCGAUUACUAAGAUAGUUUCAGGGGAACAGGAAGUGCCCAUUUUUUUCAUCUUGAUAUUAGGCAAUUCCUGGAUUGAUCAGCUACAUCUUUCCAAAGUUUCUUCAUCAGAGACCCAGCAGAGUGACAGGCCCACACAGGGAGCAGCAGUGUUGACUGGGAAGUGGGUUCUAGAUCAAGGCUCUGGCACCAGGUCACUGAGUCGUACUCAGCCUCAGUGUAUUCAUCUGUAGAAUGCGAGCAACUAUCCCAAGGUGACAUUAUGAGGAUUAAAGGAGUUAAUGGGUGCACCUGUCAAGUAGUUGCUGUCAAUUAACAUCCAUACAACAAGCAAGCAAACUCAGCUUAAUUAGACUGGGCCUUCAGAGUUGGAGUUUGGUGAAUUUCAGGCCAUUUUUAAAUUUGAAUGAUCACAUUUACCUAGAAGCCUGACAUUAGAAUGAUGGAGUAGGGCUGUGUUUGAACUAUUGCAAAAUGAAUAAAUGAGGAGAAAGUAACUCACUAGCAUACGAGUAGUGCACACGCAAGCUCUAAACCGGAUAGUCGCAAUUUAUUUUUAGUUAAAAUUGGUUAAGAGCUAUUUUACCUGGAGUAUUUCCUUCUUUGUAAUUUAAAAUUAAACCUUCAGCCGAGGCAAGUGACUGUAAUUUGCAGGGAUUUCAGACUCUUGCUACGAUUCCGAUUUCCCUCUGGUCUUCUGGCUGUGGUGUCGCUGUGCGUUAGAGCAUCUCUGCUGAGGGGUCAGCUCACUAAAGCCAUUUAUUUUCUUAACAAUUUUGAGUACGUUAUUUAGAGCAUUUAAACUGCUUUUAGAGAAAUUACUGACAAGAGUAUUUAAACCCAGGCCCGGGUCACCGUAAAGAAGAGAAAGAGGAAGAGGAAAAACACCCUGUUCGACAUCCAAAAACCAUAAUUAUGGCCAUAAGUAAUCAUGUGCUCCUCUAAUAAAUUAUUGGAUUUAAGCCAAUAUAACUUGUGCAAAAUCGUUUAAAACGUUUCCUGAAGUGAAAAAAAAAAAAUCAAUCAUAUGGUUCUUUCUGUCACAUUUUGGGUUUGAACUAAUUUAUUUGAUGAUAUACCAAUGAUGAGAAGAAAACAAGAAUAUUUAAGGAAUUAAUGAUAUAGUGCCAUGAGAACUCUGCCAACCACUGAAAAAAAGAAGCCAAAAUAUUAACGGUAGAAAAUAUGUUUAUAUACAUUCAGAAUUUUAAUGAGAUUUCCGUGAUGUGUUAUCAGUUAAAUGCCAAAUUUCUCUGUACUUAAGCAGAUCAUACAGGUAUUAAAGAGAAUUUAGGUAAUAUGUUUUAAAAAAGUUCAUAUUUAGAGAAUUUUAGUUAAACUGCAUUCCUCAGCUGAACAGGUAAAAUCCUUAGAGAUUAUUCAUUUUGUGUGCAAUGAAAAACAAAAGUUAAGGAGUUUUAUGCUUAGCUGAGAAAAGCUGUGGGUUUUUUAUCAUAGAUUUUUCCCCCUAUUUAGACUGUUGCUGGCUGAUUCUCAUUUCUACACUGUAAUUUCCAGCUUAUCCUAAAUAUAGACACUGGAUUUGAGCCAUCCUAAUUAAACUGUGAAGUUCUUUUGUAGUGAGCGCUGAUGCUUCUGAAAUCAAUUUCAAGGUUUACACAAGCAGUGUACCCACCUUCCUGGUUUUCUUUCGCUUUAUGAACUUAUCUAGAAAUGAUAAAUCGCAAAUAAUAUUUUAGUGGCAAAUUUGUACUAUUCUUUUGCC
RNAcentral lists this long non-coding RNA (3994 nucleotides) under Equus caballus (horse). RNAcentral's name for it is "lncRNA (ENSECAG00000058204.1)". Lineage: Eukaryota; Metazoa; Chordata; Mammalia; Perissodactyla; Equidae. The record is from RNAcentral.